RNAcentral lists this ribosomal RNA (1669 nucleotides) under Convoluta convoluta. Its description in RNAcentral is "SSU rRNA". It matches the Rfam family "Eukaryotic small subunit ribosomal RNA". The record is from RNAcentral. Lineage: Eukaryota; Metazoa; Xenacoelomorpha; Acoela; Convolutidae.
UUACAAUCUAAUGGUUGAGUUCCUUGUAAAAAGAAUACCUGAGGUAAGUCUUCAGUCAAUGCUUGCAGAUUGCUUGCGAGAGUGAGAACUUUUACGCUGAAACGCCGGGUUACUCUUUCAAGGGAACAUUCCGGAUGAUUACCCAGUAACUGAAAGAUGCUACAGACAUUAUUGUACUGAGCACGUAACCUACGGGUUUCUGACCUAUCAACCUAUGGCGGUAGUGUAACGGACUACCGCGGUUGUGACGGGUGACGGGGAAUCAGGGUUCGAUUCCGGAGAGGGAGCACGAGAAACGGCUACCAUAUCCAAGGAAAGCAGCAGGCACGCAAAUUACCCAAUCCCGGUACGGGGAGGUAGUGACGAGAAAUACUGAUUUAAUCCUUAAAGGUUUAUAAUCAGAAUGGAAAGGAUGCAAAAGCUCCUUGAUGAACGAGUAGAGGGCAAGUCUGGUGCCAGCAGCCGCGGUAAUACCAGCCUCUACAAGCGUAUGCAAAUGUUGCUGCGUUUAAAAAGCUCAUAGUUGGAUCUGUUUGGGUAUCGGGAUAACAUGUAGAUUUGAUUUGCGUAACCACUUCUACCCCGACGCCCAUAACCUUCGCAUCGGUGAUUAGAUUGCACUUUAGUGUGACGAUCUAUGAUCUUCGGUGUUUUCACUUUGAAUAAAUUAGAGUGUUCAAAGCAUCCUUUGGGAUUGAAUAAUAAAGCAUGGAAUAAUGGAGAAUGACCCGUGAGGCGAUUAUGCCGGUUGGCUGCUCAUGGUAAUGGUUAAAAGGAACGGACGGGGGCAUUAGUAUUGCUUGGGGAGAGGUGAAAUUCUUGGAUCCUAGCAAGACUAACUACUGCGAAAGCAUUUGCCCAGUACGUUUUCAUUAAUCAAGAACGAAAGUUAGAGUAUUGAAGAGGAUUAGAUACCCUCGUAAUUCUAACCAUAAACUAUACCAACUUACGAUUCGCUGAAGUCGCUUGAGACUUGGCGAGAAAUUAACCGGGAAACCAAAGUUUAUUGGUUCCGGGGGAAGUAUGGUUGCAAAAUUGAAACUUAAAGGAAUUGACGGAAGGGCACCACCAGGAGUGGAGCCUGCGGCUUAAUUUGACUCAACACGGGAAAACUUACCAGGUCCAGACAUCUUAAGGAUUGACAGAUUAAAUAUCUUUCAUGAUUAUAUGGGCGGUGGUGCAUGGCCGUUCUUAGUUAGUGGAGUGAUCUGUCUGCUUAAUUGCGAUAACGAACGAGAUCUCAUUCAUUUAACUAGAAAGAUUCACUUUAUGUGUUUCUAAUGUCACUUCUUAGAGGGACAAUGCGGGAUAUAAUACCCGCAAGUGAAGUGAGGCUAUAACAGGUCUGUGAUGCCCUUAGAUGUUCUGGACUGCACGCGCGUUACAUUGAGCGUUUAUGAGAGUGAAUAUCCUGGGCCGAAAUGGUCUGGGUAAUCACCAAAAAAGGCUGUAAUGGUGGGAAUCGUAUAUUGUAAUAAUAUACGUGAACUUGGAAUUCCUCGUAAACAGGACUCAACAAGUCCUGCUGAUUACGUCCCUGCCCUUUGUACACACCGCCCGUCGCUACUACUGAUUGGACGGAUAAGAGAGAUAUGCUGAGGAACUUUGCUCUUGAAUUCGUUCUUGUUGCUUUAGUUAAACCAACGCACUCCAAUCCUGUCGAUCUAGA